Non-coding RNA from Bubalus bubalis (water buffalo), 872 nucleotides. NCBI's taxonomy places the organism in Eukaryota, Metazoa, Chordata, Mammalia, Artiodactyla, Bovidae. The record is from the annotation of a RefSeq genome assembly.
AUGAGCCCCUGUCUCCUGGGCUGUGUGGUCUUCUGUCUCCUGCAGGCAGGGGCGGUCCAUGCUGGGGUCACUCAGGACCCCAGAUUCCAGGUCGUGAGGAGAGGACAGAGCGUGACACUGACAUGUACUCAGGAUCUGGGUCAUGACCGCAUGUACUGGUACCGACAAGACCUGGGACACGGGCUGAGGCUGAUCCAUUACUCAGCUGGUGUGUUCACUAGUGAGCCAGGAGAUGUGCCCGAUGGCUACAGCGUCUCCAGAUCAAGCAUAGAGAACUUCCCUCUAAUGCUGGAGUCUGCCAACCGCUCCCAGACAUCUGUGUACUUCUGCACUAGCAGUUACUCCAUGGCACUGCAGGGUCACCUCCUCUCUGUGCAAAAGACAGGGGUCCACGUGCAGGCUCCUAGCACCGGGAGCCUCAGGGCUUUGUUAGCCAGGUGCCUGCAGUGUGACCCUGGGUAUGCGGUGGAGACUGGCCCGAACCUCACUGCCGGGCCUUGGGGACCUUGUGGGACCAUCGAUCUCUGUCUUUCCUCUGCAGCCUCCAUGUGAACCAGGAAGAUGCUUCCCCAGCUCUGACUCCUAGUCAUCACAUGAGCCUGAGACCUAGGAGGGAAGGUUGUUGGAUAAAUUAGAUACGUCUAGACACUCUUGUCUCACCUCAGGCAGCUCAUUUCUGGCUUUCUGGAGGUUCUCCCACAGUCUGGUUCUCACCUGGUCUAGGCUGGCUCUUGUCCACCUUUCCCAGGCGGGCAGGACAUUCCUCUCCCCACCUCCCUGCAUCAGCUCCCUGGCCCUCUCUACCACAGCCACACUGCUCCUCCUUCGUCUGGGUCAGGUCCCUUCCCAAGUCACAGGGAGGCUUUUUAAGU